Molecule: ribosomal RNA, 427 nt
Filed under: uncultured bacterium
Lineage: Bacteria
Also listed under: 1 other name
Description: bacterial SSU rRNA
Rfam family: Bacterial small subunit ribosomal RNA
Source: RNAcentral
UGGGGAAUUUUGGACAAUGGGCGAAAGCCUGAUCCAGCCAUACCGCGUGCGGGAAGAAGGCCUUCGGGUUGUAAACCGCUUUUGUCAGGGAAGAAAUCUUCUGGGCUAAUACCUCGGGAGGAUGACGGUACCUGAAGAAUAAGCACCGGCUAACUACGUGCCAGCAGCCGCGGUAAUACGUAGGGUGCAAGCGUUAAUCGGAAUUACUGGGCGUAAAGCGUGCGCAGGCGGUUCCAUAAGACAGAUGUGAAAUCCCCGGGCUCAACCUGGGAACUGCAUUUGUGACUGUGGAGCUAGAGUACGGUAGAGGGGGAUGGAAUUCCGCGUGUAGCAGUGAAAUGCGUAGAUAUGCGGAGGAACACCAAUGGCGAAGGCAAUCCCCUGGACCUGUACUGACGCUCAUGCACGAAAGCGUGGGGAGCAAACA